This 1707-nucleotide long non-coding RNA is filed under the name Nicotiana tabacum (common tobacco). RNAcentral's name for it is "long non-coding RNA (NTAB_LNC012252)". The record is from RNAcentral. Lineage: Eukaryota; Viridiplantae; Streptophyta; Magnoliopsida; Solanales; Solanaceae.
CCAAAACACAUAUCGAAGAGCCUUGAGAUAGCAGACUAUACAUUACCAUUUUACCCUUAACAUAUACUUAUCAUGAUAUCUGGUUAUACAGGAGAUCAUCACCAAAUAUGAAUGCUCAUUUCAGCCAAAAAAAAGAACUAAAAUAAAUCUGAAAUACAUGCAAUUGAAUUGAGUCCUUUACCACAACAUCUUAACAGUCCCAUGACAAUGUAUAAUGAGAAUAUUUCUACUAACUAAACUAGAAAUCAACUCGAAUGAUGAAUCACAUCAGUAAGAACACAAAAUCGAGAAGACAUUUCAGAUGAAGCAUGGAUAAAGCUGAUAAUAUGCCUUAAAAUUUUCUUCCUUUCAUUUCAUUCCUCAAAUCCGUCUUCACAAUCAGCAGGGCCUAAGAGUAUGUACCUGAGUAAGUGAAAACAAAAGCAGAAUAUCAAGCUGAAGAUCACGAGAACACAGCAACAACAGAAACCAGCAAUGUAACAGUGCCGGAUCCCAGAUUCAGGCAAUAAAACAGUAACACCCAAACAUCACACUUAAAACAAACUUUUGGAUAUCCAAAAUUCAAUCCAUUUCAACCCAAUUGCAUGAUUUUUUCAUUUUCAGUAGUGUUAAUCAAGCAAUAAAGAUCAGCAACCAGGAAACCAAUCUAAUUUUGAGAGGUUUUCAAACAAGGAAAUGUAAAGAAUUCAAGAAUAUUUCAUAAUUUUUCAAAGAAGGCAGCCGUUUCAGUUUUUUUUAGGAUUUUUGUUGUCUAAAUAUCUUUUCCGCCUCUCGGCUCUUUUUUUCUUGUCUGCCUUGAAAUGCAAGAAAUGAUGCCUUUAUAGGCAAGAAAGUAGGGCAGCCUCAACUUAGGUGCCCUUAGUUAAAUUUUCAGAAUUCAAGAUAGCCCCCCACCCCCAGCUUCCUAGAAGCUUCCCAUUCAGUUACACAAAGAUUCCCCACCUCAAUUACCUAUACUACCCUCUACACUCUGUUUAUUACCCUCUAUAUGCCAGGAAGAAUCCGGGUCCAAUUGACCCAAAUUAAUGGGUCUACGUAGACCCCAUUCAACUCCCUCUUAUGCUAUUUAAUCCUUAUGAACCCAAUUAAUAUGAAGAAAAAACCAAAAACCCCAACGUUCAAAUUCAGAAACUUAAUGACUCGGAACAAAAUUGAGCCCAAAACAAGAAUGAAAAUUCAAACUAUACGUACUUGAAGACAAGACCCAACUGAUAAUCAAACACAACUUGAAUCUAACUUGCAGAUACAGACAGUGUGAAGAAAUAAAAAAAUGAGAAAUCAAAAUCAGAAAACUAAAAGAAAGAGUAGAAGAAGGUAAGAAGAGAACAAAGAAACAUAAGUUAAAUAACGAAAGGUAAAGAAGAACAAAAUACCUUAAAACAACUCGGACCAGUAAAGAAUGGUGACGAAUCUUCAAGUCUUCAAAUUUUUGGCUCAGUUUGAGAUUAAUCGUGUGUUCUUUAUCAAAAACACAUGAAUAAAGUCAAAAGGGACCUAAAAUCUUCAAUGAAAUCUUGAUUCGGAAAUCUUGGGAUUUUAGGUUUCAAUUUCUGAUCUAAUAUUCGAGAAGAUCGGGCAACAUUCUAGGGAAACUAACCCGGAAUUUGGUGGUGAACAGAGGUGGCGCUACCGGGCUAAGGCGGUGGGAAUUAGGGCGGCGGAUUAGGGUUUAGGGGGUGUUUCUGAAGAGAUGAGGGUGAGUUAGAC